AUUUUGACUUAAUAAAUAUGCUUAUUGAAUUUAAUGUGCAUUCAUCUGUCCAUACCCUCGUCCGCUCUAGACACACACACCGAAUGUAACAUAGCAUAACGAACAUAACGCUGAACUGCGGCAAAAACACUGCCUACCACUCCCUCGUUGUAAUGUCAGUCAAGCACAAUCAAAUAAAAAAGACAAAAAUAAUGCUUUCUGGAUAUUAUUGCCUAUUAAAAGUUUUUUUCCGCUGAAAUUCGACUGUUUUCAUCAAUUUACGACCAAAAACUACAGUUUCAGGUGUUUUGCAUAGCUUCGGUACUUUCUAUUCCCAGAAAACGAAGUAGUAAACUAACGGCACCAGUUGCACAUGAAGCCACAUCUACUGCGACUGCAAUCGUGGGAAUCAAUCCGCUAUCGCAACGGUGGCAGAGGUUUCGAGUUCGAUUCCAAGUGCUAUGUCUUAAAUGGGAGAUUAUGCGAUCAUCGCAGUGUUGGCGGCUGAUGAUAACGUGCGCUGAUAGUAAUCACAGUAAUGAAUCGGGAGGUAAAAUGUAAUAUUACAACAGCAAUCUAUCGGUCGUUUGAUCACAAACUUCUGUUUGUGUGUAACAGAGGAUACUUUAGCAAUA
Molecule: long non-coding RNA, 614 nt
Organism: Armigeres subalbatus
Lineage: Eukaryota; Metazoa; Arthropoda; Insecta; Diptera; Culicidae
Exons: 2
Source: RefSeq, a predicted model, not a curated record